UAUAGAGUUUGAUCAUGGCUCAGAGCGAACGCUGGCGGCAGGCCUAAUACAUGCAAGUCGAGCGCACCUUCGGGUGAGCGGCGGACGGGUGAGUAACGCGUGGGAACGUGCCCUUUGGUACGGAACAACUGAGGGAAACUUCAGCUAAUACCGUAUGUGCCCUUCGGGGGAAAGAUUUAUCGCCAUUGGAGCGGCCCGCGUUGGAUUAGCUAGUUGGUAGGGUAACGGCCUACCAAGGCGACGAUCGGUAGCUGGUCUGAGAGGACGACCAGCCACACUGGGACUGAGACACGGCCCAGACUCCUACGGGAGGCAGCAGUGGGGAAUUUUGGACAAUGGGGGCAACCCUGAUCCAGCCAUGCCGCGUGUGUGAAGAAGGCCUUCGGGUUGUAAAGCACUUUCGGACGGAACGAAAUCGCGCGGGUUAACAGUCCGCGUGGAUGACGGUACCGUAAGAAGAAGCACCGGCUAACUACGUGCCAGCAGCCGCGGUAA
This 495-nucleotide ribosomal RNA is filed under the name uncultured bacterium. RNAcentral describes it as "bacterial SSU rRNA". It matches the Rfam family "Bacterial small subunit ribosomal RNA", at positions 1 to 523 of the family's 1533-position model. The record is from RNAcentral.